This 508-nucleotide ribosomal RNA is filed under the name marine sediment bacterium ISA-2680. Its description in RNAcentral is "bacterial SSU rRNA". It matches the Rfam family "Bacterial small subunit ribosomal RNA", at positions 38 to 525 of the family's 1533-position model. The record is from RNAcentral.
GGCGGCGGCCUAACACAUGCAACGUCGAGCGGCAGCGACAACAUUGAACCUUCGGGGGAUUUGUUGGGCGGCGAGCGGCGGACGGGUGAGUAAUGCUUGGGAAUAUGCCUUAUGGUGGGGGACAACAGUUGGAAACGACUGCUAAUACCGCAUGAUGUCUACGGACCAAAGUGGGGGACCUUCGGGCCUCACGCCAUAAGAUUAGCCCAAGUGGGAUUAGCUAGUUGGUGAGGUAAUGGCUCACCAAGGCGACGAUCCCUAGCUGGUUUGAGAGGAUGAUCAGCCACACUGGGACUGAGACACGGCCCAUACUCCUACGGGAGGCAGCAGUGGGGAAUAUUGCACAAUGGGCGCAAGCCUGAUGCAGCCAUGCCGCGUGUGUGAAGAAGGCCUUCGGGUUGUAAAGCACUUUCAGUAAGGAGGAAAGGUUAACUGUUAAUAUCGCUUAGCUGUGACGUUACUUACAGAAGAAGCACCGGCUAACUCCGUGCCAGCAGCCGCGGUAAUA